CUACGGGUUGCUGCAGUGGGGAAUAUUGGACAAUGGGGGAAACCCUGAUCCAGCAAUGCCGCGUGUGUGAAGAAGACCUGCGGGUUGUAAAGCACUUUCGGUUGGGAGGACUGCUUCUAGCACUAAUAUUGUUGGAAGUUGACGUUACCUUCAGAAGAAGCACCGGCUAACUCCGUGCCAGCAGCCGCGGUAAUACGGAGGGUGCAAGCAUUAAUCUGGAAUUACUGGGCGUAAAGCGCGCGUAGGCGGCUAGAUCAGUCGGGUGUGAAAGCCCCGGGCUUAACCUGGGAACUGCAUCCGAUACUGUAUAGCUUGAGGACAGGAGAGGAGAGUGGAAUUCCACAUGUAGCGGUGAAAUGCGUAGAUAUGUGGAGGAACACCAAUGGCGAAGGCAGCUCUCUGGCCUGAUACUGACGCUGAGGUGCGAAAGCGUGGGGAGCAAACAGGAUUAGAUACCCGUGUAGUC
This 466-nucleotide ribosomal RNA is filed under the name uncultured bacterium. RNAcentral describes it as "partial 16S ribosomal RNA". It matches the Rfam family "Bacterial small subunit ribosomal RNA", at positions 339 to 795 of the family's 1533-position model. The record is from RNAcentral.